RNAcentral lists this ribosomal RNA (1219 nucleotides) under Acinetobacter baumannii. RNAcentral's name for it is "bacterial SSU rRNA". It matches the Rfam family "Bacterial small subunit ribosomal RNA", at positions 11 to 1225 of the family's 1533-position model. Lineage: Bacteria; Pseudomonadati; Pseudomonadota; Gammaproteobacteria; Moraxellales; Moraxellaceae. The record is from RNAcentral.
GUUUGAUCAUGGCUCAGAUUGAACGCUGGCGGCAGGCUUAACACAUGCAAGUCGAGCGGGGGAAGGUAGCUUGCUACUGGACCUAGCGGCGGACGGGUGAGUAAUGCUUAGGAAUCUGCCUAUUAGUGGGGGACAACAUCUCGAAAGGGAUGCUAAUACCGCAUACGUCCUACGGGAGAAAGCAGGGGAUCUUCGGACCUUGCGCUAAUAGAUGAGCCUAAGUCGGAUUAGCUAGUUGGUGGGGUAAAGGCCUACCAAGGCGACGAUCUGUAGCGGGUCUGAGAGGAUGAUCCGCCACACUGGGACUGAGACACGGCCCAGACUCCUACGGGAGGCAGCAGUGGGGAAUAUUGGACAAUGGGGGGAACCCUGAUCCAGCCAUGCCGCGUGUGUGAAGAAGGCCUUAUGGUUGUAAAGCACUUUAAGCGAGGAGGAGGCUACUUUAGUUAAUACCUAGAGAUAGUGGACGUUACUCGCAGAAUAAGCACCGGCUAACUCUGUGCCAGCAGCCGCGGUAAUACAGAGGGUGCGAGCGUUAAUCGGAUUUACUGGGCGUAAAGCGUGCGUAGGCGGCUUAUUAAGUCGGAUGUGAAAUCCCCGAGCUUAACUUGGGAAUUGCAUUCGAUACUGGUGAGCUAGAGUAUGGGAGAGGAUGGUAGAAUUCCAGGUGUAGCGGUGAAAUGCGUAGAGAUCUGGAGGAAUACCGAUGGCGAAGGCAGCCAUCUGGCCUAAUACUGACGCUGAGGUACGAAAGCAUGGGGAGCAAACAGGAUUAGAUACCCUGGUAGUCCAUGCCGUAAACGAUGUCUACUAGCCGUUGGGGCCUUUGAGGCUUUAGUGGCGCAGCUAACGCGAUAAGUAGACCGCCUGGGGAGUACGGUCGCAAGACUAAAACUCAAAUGAAUUGACGGGGGCCCGCACAAGCGGUGGAGCAUGUGGUUUAAUUCGAUGCAACGCGAAGAACCUUACCUGGCCUUGACAUACUAGAAACUUUCCAGAGAUGGAUUGGUGCCUUCGGGAAUCUAGAUACAGGUGCUGCAUGGCUGUCGUCAGCUCGUGUCGUGAGAUGUUGGGUUAAGUCCCGCAACGAGCGCAACCCUUUUCCUUACUUGCCAGCAUUUCGGAUGGGAACUUUAAGGAUACUGCCAGUGACAAACUGGAGGAAGGCGGGGACGACGUCAAGUCAUCAUGGCCCUUACGGCCAGGGCUACACACGUGC